GAUGAACGCUGGCGGCGUGCCUAAUACAUGCAAGUCGAGCGAACAGUCGAGGAGCUUGCUCCUCUGACGUUAGCGGCGGACGGGUGAGUAACACGUGGAUAACCUACCUAUAAGACUGGGAUAACUUCGGGAAACCGGAGCUAAUACCGGAUAAUAUAUUGAACCGCAUGGUUCAAUAGUGAAAGACGGUUUUGCUGUCACUUAUAGAUGGAUCCGCGCCGCAUUAGCUAGUUGGUAAGGUAACGGCUUACCAAGGCAACGAUGCGUAGCCGACCUGAGAGGGUGAUCGGCCACACUGGAACUGAGACACGGUCCAGACUCCUACGGGAGGCAGCAGUAGGGAAUCUUCCGCAAUGGGCGAAAGCCUGACGGAGCAACGCCGCGUGAGUGAGGAAGGUCUUCGGAUCGUAAAACUCUGUUAUUAGGGAAGAACAAAUGUGUAAGUAACGAUGCACGUCUUGACGGUACCUAAUCAGAAAGCCACGGCUAACUACGUGC
This 498-nucleotide ribosomal RNA is filed under the name uncultured bacterium. RNAcentral describes it as "partial 16S ribosomal RNA". It matches the Rfam family "Bacterial small subunit ribosomal RNA", at positions 28 to 508 of the family's 1533-position model. The record is from RNAcentral.